GCGCAGCAGUCGCGAAAACUUCACACUGUGCGAAAGCACGAUGAGGGAAUCCCAAGUGCUUGCACGUAAGUGUAAGCUGUUUUCUCUGUUUAAAACGCAGAGAGAGUAAGGGCUGGGUAAGACGGGUGCCAGCCGCCGCGGUAGUACCUGCAGCUCAAGUGGUGACCGUUAUUAUUGGGCCUAAAACGUCCGUAGCCGGUUUGAUAAAUGCCUGGGUAAAUCGUGUAGCUUAACUAUACGAAUUCCGGGUAGACUGUUAAACUCGAGACCGGGAGAAGUUAGAGGUACUCCUGGGGUAGAGGUGAAAUUCUGUAAUCCUAGGGGGACCACCAGUGGCGAAGGCGUCUAACUAGAACGGGUCUGACGGUGAGGGACGAAGCCCUGGGGCGCAAACGGGAUUAGAUACCGGGUAGU
RNAcentral lists this ribosomal RNA (414 nucleotides) under uncultured microorganism. RNAcentral describes it as "bacterial SSU rRNA". It matches the Rfam family "Archaeal small subunit ribosomal RNA", at positions 330 to 745 of the family's 1478-position model. The record is from RNAcentral.